RNAcentral lists this ribosomal RNA (404 nucleotides) under uncultured bacterium. RNAcentral's name for it is "partial 16S ribosomal RNA". It matches the Rfam family "Bacterial small subunit ribosomal RNA", at positions 355 to 776 of the family's 1533-position model. RNAcentral also lists the same sequence under 1 other name. The record is from RNAcentral.
UGGGGAAUCUUGCACAAUGGGGGAAACCCUGAUGCAGCGACGCCGCGUGAGCGAUGAAGCCCUUCGGGGUGUAAAGCUCUUUCGGCAGGGACGAUAAUGACGGUACCUGCAGAAGCAGCUGCGGCUAACUACGUGCCAGCAGCCGCGGUAAUACGUAGGCAGCAAGCGUUGUUCGGAAUUACUGGGCGUAAAGAGUGCGUAGGCUGUUUGUCAAGUUCGGUGUGAAAUCUCCUGGCUCAACUGGGAGGGUGCGCCGGAAACUGGCAGACUAGAGUGUGGGAGAGGAAAGUGGAAUUCCUGGUGUAGCGGUGAAAUGCGUAGAUAUCAGGAGGAACACCGGAGGUGAAGACGGCUUUCUGGACCAUAACUGACGCUGAGGCACGAAAGCGUGGGUAGCAAACAGG